GCCACGUUCAAUACUGGUCUUGACUUCAGUUCUCGUCCGAUCACCGAAGUUAAGGGACGUUGGACGUGCUCAGUACUCGGAUAAGUGACCGUCUGGGAGAUCACCUGAUGUUGGUU
Molecule: ribosomal RNA, 116 nt
Filed under: Olea europaea subsp. europaea
Lineage: Eukaryota; Viridiplantae; Streptophyta; Magnoliopsida; Lamiales; Oleaceae
Source: RNAcentral